RNAcentral lists this long non-coding RNA (1252 nucleotides) under Homo sapiens (human). Its description in RNAcentral is "hepatocellular carcinoma up-regulated long non- coding RNA". The record is from RNAcentral. Lineage: Eukaryota; Metazoa; Chordata; Mammalia; Primates; Hominidae.
UGGGGUAGAGACGCUAGGCCGGCACUGCCUAGGUGGGCCGGGCGGUGCGAGGGUCGCCUUUCAGCCUUUACCUCUACCCACUGAAAUGGAGUAGGUCGGUGAGCGCCGAUCUGCUGGAGAAUCUCAUUAUCCCAUCGGCGCUCUGCCUGCUCCUGGCCUCCAAGCCUCUGAAGCCCCUCGGGUUUCAGCUGCCGGCUACCCUCGAGCCCGUGGUGCCCACGAGAGAGGCGACUUUACGUCAGCGGCCCUGGGCUGAGAUUUGAGAACGCGACCAAGUGGAGAAUGUUGGAGCCAGAUUUUAAAAUCCUUGUCUUCCUUCUGCGUGCUACUUGAUCUAAAUGAGAUACGGCAAAGUCACAGAACCUGUUUUUAUGUUUUUGCCUGAUUCAUACGGGCUUCUCCGGUGAAGAUGGGCCUGAAGUAACGCUUGGGUUGCUUCUGACGUUAUAACUCAUCCUGUAGCUGCAGCAACCGUGGUCCUUGCAACCUCAUAAAAAUGUUGCCAGCAUUGUUUCGAUAGUGCUGCUUAAUUCUUGGAAGGUUCUUCGGACUUCACACAUUCCAGCAGUAGCUCUCUCAGCUCCUGUCCUGCACAGCUUUGAAGUGCUGGCUGGAGUGCAGUGGUGCCAUCUCGGCUCACUGCAGCCUCAACCUCCUGGGCUCAAGCGAUCCUCCUGCCACACCCUCCUGAGUAGCUGGGAUUACAGGUGAUGUCAUUGAACUCUUAAGUGCAAGAUGAAACAAGUCUUUCUGGGGUUCUAAGUAGUUAACCAACAGGACACAGCCCUGGUGAUGGCUUUCUGAGGAUGACACGAUGGAGGCUUCUCCAAUAGCUCUAAAACUGCGGUGUGGAAAACAUUCGGCAGCCUCAAAGAGCGGUCUUGUUGACCCCAACUAUAUCAUUUUUCAUCAAAAUCAUUCUUGUAAAGAAUGACCAGGCAACACUCUUUGAAAAUUGGAGGCCAUUUGCAGCUGCUCUCUGUUGAGGAAAGUGAAUAAUAGGGUGCCCUCAAGGAAUUGCAAAGGUAUCACUCAACAGAAACUUUCGUGUCUGAAGAAAACUAGAUCAUUUUAUCAUGGUAGGCAUGCUGAUAUGUUUGCUUUAAUAAAAUGCCAUAUUUCUGCCUUUAAUCUCUUGUCAACCCGCUAUUAAAAAGCCCCAAAGUGCAUGUGUGCAGCGCAUGUAAACACUUGUGGUUUUGAGGUUACCACAGAACAUACUAAUAAAGCAUGUAAUUUGUGUUUUGUGCAC